AUUGAACGCUGCCGUGCGGCUUAACACAUGCAAGUCGAACGGUAACAUAAAGAAGCUUGCUUCUUUGAUAACGAGUGGCGGACGGGUGAGUAAUGCUUGGGAAUCUAGCUUAUGGAGGGGGAUAACUACCGGAAACUGUAGCUAAUACCGCGUAAAAUCCGGAGAUGAAAGUGUGGGACCUUCGGGCCACAUGCCAUAAGAUGAGCCCCAGUGGGAAUAAGUAGUUUGUGAGGUAAAGGCUCACCCAGCCGACAAUCUCUAGCUGGUCUGAGAGGAUGACCAGCCACACUGGGACUGAGACACGGCCCAAACUCCUACGGGAGGGAGCAGUGGGGAAUAUUGCGCAAUGGGGGCAACCCUGACGCAGCCAUGCCGCGUGGAUGAAGAAAGCCUUCCGGUUGUAAAGUUCUUUCCGUAGCGAGGAAGGCGUUUAUUUUAAUAAACUGGAUGAUUGACGUUUACUACCGAAGAAGCACCGGCUAACUCCGUGCCAGCAGCCGCGGUAAUACAGAGGGUGCGAGCGGUAAUUCGAAUAACUGGGCGUAAAGGACACGCACGCGCGGACUUAAAUGAAGUGGGAAAGACCCGGGCUUAACCUGGGUAUUGCAUUUCAUACUGGGUCGCUAGAGUACUUUAGGGAGGGGUAGAAUUCCACGUGUAGCGGUGAAAUGCGUAGAGAUGUGGAGGAAUACCGAAGGCGAAAGCAGCCCCUUGGGAAUGUACUGACGCUCAUGUGCNGAAGCGUGGGGAGCAAACAGGAUUAGAUACCCUGGUAGUCCACGCUGUAAACGAUGUCGAUUUGGGAGUUGAGCUUUAAGUUUGGCGCCCGUAGCUAACGUGAUAAAUCGACCGCCUGGGGAGUACGGCCGCCAGGUUAAAACUCAAAUGAAUUGACGGGGGCCCGCACCAGCGGUGGAGCAUGUGGUUUAAUUCGAUGCCACGCGAAGAACCUUACCUACUCCUGACCUCCAGAGAACCUUCCCGAAAUGGAUUGGUGGCCUCCGGAACUCCGAAACCAGUGCCUGCUGGCUGGCCUCCACUCCUGGUGGGGAAUGGUUGGGUUAAUUCCCGCACCAAGCGCACCCCUAAUCCUUUGUUGCCAGCAAUUUGGUCGGGAACUCAAAGAAGACUGCCGGUGAUAAACCGGAGGAAGGGGGGGAUGACGUCAAGUCAUCAUGGCCCUUACAAGUAGGGCUACACACGUGCUACAAUGGCGUAUCCAGAGGGAAGCGAGAGUCCGAGCUGGAGCGAAUCUCACAAAGUACGUCUAAGUCCGGAUUGGAGUCUGCAACUCGACUCCAUGAAGUCGGAAUCGCUAGUAAUCGCAAAUCAGAAUGUUGCGGUGAAUACGUUCCCAAGCGU
RNAcentral lists this ribosomal RNA (1362 nucleotides) under uncultured bacterium. Its description in RNAcentral is "bacterial SSU rRNA". It matches the Rfam family "Bacterial small subunit ribosomal RNA", at positions 28 to 1381 of the family's 1533-position model. The record is from RNAcentral.